AUUGAACGCUGGCGGCAGGCCUAACACAUGCAAGUCGAACGGAAACAGAAAGCAGCUUGCUGCUUUGCUGACGAGUGGCGGACGGGUGUGUCAUGUCUGGGAAACUGCCUGAUGGAGGGGGAUAACUACUGGAAACGGUAGCUAAUACCGCAUAACGUCUCAAGACCAAAGUGGGGGACCUUCGGGCCUCUUUCCAUCGGAUGUGCCCAGAUGGGAUUAGCUAGUAGGUGGGGUAAAGGCUCACCUAGGCGACGAUCCCUAGCUGGUCUGAGAGGAUGACCAGCCACACUGGAACUGAGACACGGUCCAGACUCCUACGGGAGGCAGCAGUGGGGAAUAUUGCACAAUGGGCGCAAGCCUGAUGCAGCAAUGCCGCGUGUAUGAAGAAGGCCUUCGGGUUGUAAAGUACUUUCAGCGGGGAGGAAGGGAGUAAAGUUAAUACCUUUGCUCAUUGACGUUACCCGAAGAAGAAGCACCGGCUAACUCCGUG
This 490-nucleotide ribosomal RNA is filed under the name uncultured bacterium. Its description in RNAcentral is "partial 16S ribosomal RNA". It matches the Rfam family "Bacterial small subunit ribosomal RNA", at positions 30 to 507 of the family's 1533-position model. The record is from RNAcentral.